This 937-nucleotide long non-coding RNA is filed under the name Xyrichtys novacula (pearly razorfish). The record is from RNAcentral. Lineage: Eukaryota; Metazoa; Chordata; Actinopteri; Labriformes; Labridae.
GAUUGACAGAGGGAAAAAUGCCCCAGGGAUGUCGAGAGAAGGCGAAAUAAUUGUGUGAAAAUUUGUUCUUUCGGUUGUUAAGUGUUAAAUGAAGACUUAACAGGAUUGAGGCUCGGUGUGUUGGAUCGGGGCGGGGGUGUGUGGUUGUUUCGAGACGUGCGGGUGAGUGUUGUUGGUAGAUUCGGCUAGGUUCGUAAAUGUGCUAUAUGCUAAAUUGUUAGCUGACUAGCAUUGACUGUGCAGGAGCAGAGGAAGACUGGAGUCAGGAUUCACGUGCGAGGUCGGGUGUUAAUUUCAAGUUCCUGAGUGAGUAUCAGACUGAUUAUUGUUACCUCAGGCAUGUUGUGAGUGAGUACGUGUAUGUGAAGUUUUGUUUUUUUGUGCUGUCAGUGUACUUCGGAUACUGGCCACUCGUGCUGCGACAUUAGAGGUGCUCCGGACUUGCCGCGCCAAUGACUUCGGCAUGCGGACCGACUUUCGCUUUCUUCCAUUCUGUGCUUCGGUGAUGGUUGUAACAACACACAAAAUUUGCAAGGAACCGUGAGUACAAACGACUUGGAAAUCACACCCACACAAGAGCUCCAUCAGCGCGCCAACGUACGUGGUACCACAGACUGAUUUAUAAAAUCCCGGGUAUUAAGAACUAUUUUGUUUCUUUUUUUUUUAUUUCUUUAUCCUGUGAAUAAAUGUAAAGAUUUGUGAAUUUAAACGUGAAGUUCCUGUUGAUUGAUGUUGUGCACAUUUGGGGGGCUAUCUUAAGACAUGCAUGGGAGUUAACACUCACACAGACACAUCACACAAUUCCCUGGUUCAUAUUUUGUAGCAUCACCAAUUCCUCUCCCAUGCAAAAUACUGUGUGUAUGAUCCGGUAGGUAAUAGUAUUUAAAAAAAAAUAGGAAUUGAGUGAGGGGGCUACAGUUAUUUAUUGUUACUUGAC